RNAcentral lists this ribosomal RNA (497 nucleotides) under uncultured bacterium. Its description in RNAcentral is "partial 16S ribosomal RNA". It matches the Rfam family "Bacterial small subunit ribosomal RNA", at positions 28 to 507 of the family's 1533-position model. The record is from RNAcentral.
GAUGAACGCUGGCGGCGUGCCUAAUACAUGCAAGUCGAGCGAACAGAUAAGGAGCUUGCUCCUUUGACGUUAGCGGCGGACGGGUGAGUAACACGUGGGUAACCUACCUAUAAGACUGGGAUAACUUCGGGAAACCGGAGCUAAUACCGGAUAACAUUUGGAACCGCAUGGUUCUAAAGUGAAAGAUGGUUUUGCUAUCACUUAUAGAUGGACCCGCGCCGUAUUAGCUAGUUGGUAAGGUAACGGCUUACCAAGGCGACGAUACGUAGCCGACCUGAGAGGGUGAUCGGCCACCCUGGAACUGAGACACGGUCCAGACUCCUACGGGAGGCAGCAGUAGGGAAUCUUCCGCAAAGGGCGAAAGCCUGACGGAGCAACGCCGCGUGAGUGAUGAAGGGUUUCGGCUCGUAAAACUCUGUUAUUAGGGAAGAACAAAUGUGUAAGUAACUGUGCACGUCCUGACGGUACCUAAUCAGAAAGCCACGGCUAACUACGUG